RNAcentral lists this ribosomal RNA (301 nucleotides) under uncultured bacterium. RNAcentral's name for it is "partial 16S ribosomal RNA". It matches the Rfam family "Bacterial small subunit ribosomal RNA", at positions 509 to 807 of the family's 1533-position model. The record is from RNAcentral.
CAGCCGCCACGGUAAUACGUAGGGUGCGAGCGUUAAUCGGAAUUACUGGGCGUAAAGCGUGCGCAGGCGGUUUUGUAAGACAGGCGUGAAAUCCCCGGGCUCAACCUGGGAAUGGCGCUUGUGACUGCAAAGCUAGAGUGCGGCAGAGGGGGAUGGAGUUCCGCGUGUAGCAGUGAAAUGCGUAGAUAUGCGGAGGAACACCGAUGGCGAAGGCGAUCCCCUGGGCCUGCACUGACGCUCAUGCACGAAAGCGUGGGGAGCAAACAGGAUUAGAGACCCGUGUAGUCCCUGUCUCUUAUAC